RNAcentral lists this ribosomal RNA (481 nucleotides) under uncultured bacterium. RNAcentral describes it as "partial 16S ribosomal RNA". It matches the Rfam family "Bacterial small subunit ribosomal RNA", at positions 28 to 507 of the family's 1533-position model. The record is from RNAcentral.
GAUGAACGCUGGCGGCGUGCUUAACACAUGCAAGUCGAACGAAGCACUUUAUUUGAUUUCCUUCUGGCCUGUUUAUUUUGUGACUGAGUGCCGGACGGGUGAGUAACGCGUGGGUAACCUGCCUUGUACAGGGGGAUAACAGUUGGAAACGGCUGCUAAUACCGCAUAAGCGCCCGGCAUGGCAUGAUGCAGUGCGAAAAACUCCGGUGGUAUAAGAUGGACCCGCGUUGGAUUAGCUAGUUGGUGAGGUAACGGCCCACCAAGGCGACGAUCCAUAGCCGACCUGAGAGGGUGACCGGCCACAUUGGGACUGAGACACGGCCCAAACUCCUACGGGAGGCAGCAGUGGGGAAUAUUGCACAAUGGGCGAAAGCCUGAUGCAGCGACGCCGCGUGAGCGAAGAAGUAUUUCGGUAUGUAAAGCUCUAUCAGCAGGGAAGAUAAUGACGGUACCUGACUAAGAAGCACCGGCUAAAUACGUG